UGGUGGUUCCAUGUGUGCUAAACGUGU
Molecule: non-coding RNA, 27 nt
Filed under: Homo sapiens (human)
Lineage: Eukaryota; Metazoa; Chordata; Mammalia; Primates; Hominidae
Source: RNAcentral